Molecule: transfer RNA, 70 nt
Filed under: Dipodomys ordii (Ord's kangaroo rat)
Lineage: Eukaryota; Metazoa; Chordata; Mammalia; Rodentia; Heteromyidae
Rfam family: tRNA
About the family: Transfer RNA (tRNA) molecules are approximately 80 nucleotides in length. Their secondary structure includes four short double-helical elements and three loops (D, anti-codon, and T loops). Further hydrogen bonds mediate the characteristic L-shaped molecular structure. tRNAs have two regions of fundamental functional importance: the anti-codon, which is responsible for specific mRNA codon recognition, and the 3' end, to which the tRNAs corresponding amino acid is attached (by aminoacyl-tRNA synthetases). tRNAs cope with the degeneracy of the genetic code in two manners: having more than one tRNA (with a specific anti-codon) for a particular amino acid; and 'wobble' base-pairing, i.e. permitting non-standard base-pairing at the 3rd anti-codon position.
Source: Rfam by way of RNAcentral
GGUAAGGUGGCUCAGUGGUAGAGUGCUUGCCUCGCAUGCAUGAGGCUCUGGGUUCGAUUCCUCAGCACUA